ACAGCAGUCGCCGCGGGAAUACAGAGGGUGCAAGCGUUAAUCGGAAUUACUGGGCGUAAAGCGCGCGUAGGUGGUUUGUUAAGUUGGAUGUGAAAGCCCCGGGCUCAACCUGGGAACUGCAUCCAAAACUGGCAAGCUAGAGUACGGUAGAGGGUGGUGGAAUUUCCUGUGUAGCGGUGAAAUGCGUAGAUAUAGGAAGGAACACCAGUGGAGAAGGCGACCACCUGGACUGAUACUGACACUGAGGUGCGAAAGCGUGGGGAGCAAACAGGAUUAGAUACCCGCGUAGUCCCUGUCUCUUAUAC
RNAcentral lists this ribosomal RNA (305 nucleotides) under uncultured bacterium. RNAcentral's name for it is "partial 16S ribosomal RNA". It matches the Rfam family "Bacterial small subunit ribosomal RNA", at positions 508 to 807 of the family's 1533-position model. The record is from RNAcentral.